RNA transcript from Rosa rugosa (rugosa rose), 1853 nucleotides. RefSeq lists it as uncharacterized. The record is from RefSeq and is a predicted model, not a curated record. Lineage: Eukaryota; Viridiplantae; Streptophyta; Magnoliopsida; Rosales; Rosaceae. The transcript has 6 exons.
AACAAAAUUUUCCCACUCUACUUCACUCACACUCUCUCGCCCUUCCCCGAAACCUAUCCUCCUCCUCCUCACCCUCCUCUCUCUCUCUCUCUCUCUCUCUCUCUCUCUUACUCCCGUCCCAACUGAACCGGAACCACAAAACCCUAGAAAACGAAUUCGAAGAGAUUUCUUUGUGGCUCAUCUCGGAGGUGCAGCCUGGCGUUGACUCGUCGGAGGAUGGCGAAGAAGAUGGUGGCUACGGUGAGCCCACUCCGAUGGUUGGAGAUCGUGACGGAGGAGAGAGUGUCCUCCAGAUCCACUUUGUCUCGUGGAGUUCUUGUUUCCUUUCUGUUCAUCACCCAACCUCCUCCUCCAUCUCCGAACGACACCGAACCGUCCUCUUCUUCCUUCUCCGCCUCCGACCACAACCCGUCUAAGAACGAAGAGGAGAGAGAGGUCGGGUGCGAGGGGUUAGGGCUCAAAGAUGGUGGAUGUUCCAGAGUUCAAGGCCUCUGUUUCAGAGACGAACUGGAGCAACUCCGAAAGAAGUCUGGGUAAUUUGAAUCUUUUUAGUUUAUGGAUUGGGUUUUGUGUCUUUGAAGUAUUUGUGAGUGGGUUUCUUAAGUUUCUUCACUUUUGUGUGAUUCCUUCUUUAAUUUAUUGAAUGGAUUGGAUUAUUGGCAUGAUAGUCAUAUGAAGAUAUAGAUCCUCUAGGUUUUUUUUUGAUUGAGGAUGGAACAGAAAAUUGAACUAUCGCCAAAAAUGGUAUACCCAGAAAAGUACUGCUGUUGAUUUUAUGAAAUUCAUAACUUCAGAGAUAUAUUGACUGCAGAGGAGCUUAAUCCCUUUCUUGAUGGCUCUGCACAAUCAUAGAUGCACUUCCUUUGACAAUUAUUUUACUUUGUUCAUCAGUUACACUACUUUUGUACAUAUGUGAAGGUAUCCAUCUGCCCACGGAGCAGUAUUGCUUUCGCUUGUGAAAAUUGAAAAGUUGAACCCUUGAUGUGCUAUUUUCAAAGAUCUACUUCUGCAAAAGGUGUGUAUCCACCCUAUUUGAAGCUCAUGCUGCUCCUGCAUGUAGCUUUGAUUUGGGUUUUGUGUUUUGAUCUGUUUGGUUACUGGGUUUGCUUUGUUUUUUCAAUUGCUUCACUUUUGUAAAGAGUUUAGUAUAGUAUUACUGUGCAGCUUUAUGUAGAUAAUCAGAUACCCAGUUUUGCUUUCUCUUUAUUGUACUUAAAUUGGUAAUCUUUUCUGUAAAUUGUUCUAAAUUGGGUCGUACUGAUCUGUUUUUACAUAUUGGUGUUUUUGUUUCUUAUUAUUGGCUGGCUUAUAGUGUUAUUUGGAUUGGAUUGUGUUUGCUCAGGGCCAUUGAUCAAGCACUUCUCUUCCCUUGUCAAGUGGACGAGGGCGGCAUCUGCCAAAACACCCCAAUCAGGGGAAGCCUCCUGACUGGCAAGAUUUUGCGGUUAUUAUUACUCUGCUGGUCAUCAACUCCACCAUUAGUUUCAUCAAGGAAAAUAAUGCGGGUAAUGCUGCAGCAGCUCUCAUGGCUCGUCUUGCUCCUAAAGCCAAGACAAACACAAGGGUUGCCAGCUCUCUUGGAACAUUUCUCUUAACCCAGAUUUCAUUGAUCUUUUUCGACAUGCUUAAUGUCUACAGUCAAUUGGUGUGAGUGUCCAUGUAACCAGUGAUGAGAAGAAAGUAGUGCAAAGAUGGCCUUGCUUAUGGAAUGGUACACAAUGACUGUUUUACUUCUUUGCAAGCCCUUUGUUUUGUAUAUGGAGAAGUUUAGGCCAUUGUCCCCUUCUCCCUACUCUUUGUACACUUUUUAUCAAAAAUAGUAUUAAUGAGAAUUUUCUUUUGGUUACCACUUG